This 609-nucleotide ribosomal RNA is filed under the name Suillus grevillei. Its description in RNAcentral is "eukaryotic LSU rRNA". It matches the Rfam family "Eukaryotic large subunit ribosomal RNA", at positions 56 to 637 of the family's 3401-position model. Lineage: Eukaryota; Fungi; Basidiomycota; Agaricomycetes; Boletales; Suillaceae. The record is from RNAcentral.
GAAAAGAAACUAACAAGGAUUCCCCUAGUAACUGCGAGUGAACCGGGAAAAGCUCAAAUUUUGAAUCUGGCGGUCUUUAUGGCCGUCCGAGUUGUAAUCUAGAGAAGCGUCUUCCGCGCUGGACCGUGUAUAAGUUUCCUGGAAUGGAACGUCGUAGAGGGUGAGAAUCCCGUCUUUGACACGGACUGCCAGGGCUAUGUGAUGCGCUCUCGACGAGUCGAGUUGUUUGGGAAUGCAGCUCAAAUAGGGUGGUAAAUUCCAUCUAAAGCUAAAUACAGGCGAGAGACCGAUAGCGAACAAGUACCGUGAGGGAAAGAUGAAAAGAACUUUGGAAAGAGAGUUAAACAGUACGUGAAAUUGCUGAAAGGGAAACGCUUGAUGUCAGUCGCGUUCGUCGGGGAUCAGCCUUGCUCUUUUGCUCGGUGUACUUCCUGGCGGACGGGUCAGCAUCAGUUUUGUUCGUCGGAAAAUGGCUCGAGAAAUGUGGCACUCUUCGGGGUGUGUUAUAGACUCGGGUCGAAUACGACGUCCGGGACUGAGGAACUCAGCACGACCUUUGGGUUCGGGGCUUAGGCCCACGUUAACGUGCUUAGGAUGCUGGCAUAAUGG